Molecule: ribosomal RNA, 509 nt
Filed under: Lasiodiplodia pseudotheobromae
Lineage: Eukaryota; Fungi; Ascomycota; Dothideomycetes; Botryosphaeriales; Botryosphaeriaceae
Description: eukaryotic LSU rRNA
Rfam family: 5.8S ribosomal RNA (bases 133-287)
Source: RNAcentral
UUUUCGGGCUUCGGCUCGACUCUCCCACCCUUUGUGAACGUACCUCUGUUGCUUUGGCGGCUCCGGCCGCCAAAGGACCUCCAAACUCCAGUCAGUAAACGCAGACGUCUGAUAAACAAGUUAAUAAACUAAAACUUUCAACAACGGAUCUCUUGGUUCUGGCAUCGAUGAAGAACGCAGCGAAAUGCGAUAAGUAAUGUGAAUUGCAAGAAUUCAGUGAAUCAUCGAAUCUUUGAACGCACAUUGCGCCCCUUGGUAUUCCGGGGGGCAUGCCUGUUCGAGCGUCAUUACAACCCUCAAGCUCUGCUUGGAAUUGGGCACCGUCCUCACUGCGGACGCGCCUCAAAGACCUCGGCGGUGGCUGUUCAGCCCUCAAGCGUAGUAGAAUACACCUCGCUUUGGAGUGGUUGGCGUCGCCCGCCGGACGAACCUUCUGAACUUUUCUCAAGGUUUGACCUCGGAUCAGGUAGGGAUACCCGCUGAACUUAAGCAUAUCAAUAAGCGGAGGA